Molecule: ribosomal RNA, 430 nt
Filed under: uncultured bacterium
Lineage: Bacteria
Description: bacterial SSU rRNA
Rfam family: Bacterial small subunit ribosomal RNA
Source: RNAcentral
AUUGAACGCUGGCGGCAUGCCUUACACAUGCAAGUCGAACGGCAGCACGGGGGCAACCCUGGUGGCGAGUGGCGAACGGGUGAGUAACAUAUCGGAACAUACCCUAGAGUGGGGGAUAACGUAGCGAAAGUUACGCUAAUACCGCAUACGAUCUAAGGAUGAAAGUGGGGGAUCUUCGGACCUCAUGCUCAUGGAGUGGCCGAUAUCUGAUUAGCUAGUUGGUGAGGUAAAGGCUCACCAAGGCGACGAUCAGUAGCUGGUUUGAGAGAACGACCAGCCACACUGGAACUGAGACACGGUCCAGACUCCUACGGAGGCAGCAGUGGGAAUUUUGGGACAAUGGGGGCAACCCUGAUCCAGCAAUGCCGCGUGAGUGAAGAAGGCCUUCGGGUUGUAAAGGUACUCUUUUGUUCUAGGGAAGAAACGGUAG